CUGACACUUAGUUUAUUUAGAAUAGUCAACUUGCACUUGACAGGAGGGGUAGCCCAGUAGC
RNAcentral lists this transfer RNA (61 nucleotides) under Lumbricus castaneus. Its description in RNAcentral is "tRNA-Ala". Lineage: Eukaryota; Metazoa; Annelida; Clitellata; Crassiclitellata; Lumbricidae. The record is from RNAcentral.